RNAcentral lists this ribosomal RNA (556 nucleotides) under uncultured Actinomycetes bacterium. RNAcentral describes it as "bacterial SSU rRNA". It matches the Rfam family "Bacterial small subunit ribosomal RNA", at positions 38 to 609 of the family's 1533-position model. Lineage: Bacteria; Bacillati; Actinomycetota; Actinomycetes. The record is from RNAcentral.
GGCGGCACGCUUAACACAUGCAAGUCGAACGAGAAACUCGGAGCUUGCUCUGGGUGGACAGUGGCGAACGGGUGAGGAACACGUGAGGAACCUGCCCUGGAGACCGGGACAACAUCGGGAAACCGUUGCUAAUACCGGAUGUCCUCAUCGGACCGCAUGAUCUGAUGAGGAAAUGGAUUCCGCUCCAGGAUGGCCUCGCGGCCUAUCAGCUUGUUGGUGGGGUAACGGCCUACCAAGGCUUCGACGGGUAGCUGGUCUGAGAGGAUGUCCAGCCACACUGGGACUGAGACACGGCCCAGACUCCUACGGGAGGCAGCAGUGGGGAAUCUUGCGCAAUGGGCGAAAGCCUGACGCAGCGAUGCCGCGUGCGGGAUGACGGCCUUCGGGUUGUAAACCGCUUUCAGCAGGGACGAAAAUGACGGUACCUGCAGAAGAAGCCCCGGCCAACUACGUGCCAGCAGCCGCGGUAAUACGUANGGGGCGAGCGUUGUCCGGAUUUAUUGGGCGUAAAGAGCUCGUAGGCGGUUCGAUAAGUCGGAUGUGAAAUCUCCACGCU